CGCGUAGGCGGCUUUUCAAGUUGGACGUGAAAUUCCUGGGCUCAACCUGGGGACUGCGUUCAAGACUGUGGAGCUAGAGGAUGGAAGAGGGUCGUGGAAUUCCCAGUGUAGAGGUGAAAUUCGUAGAUAUUGGGAAGAACACCGGUGGCGAAGGCGGCGACCUGGUCCAUUACUGACGCUGAGGCGCGACAGCGUGGGGAGCAAACAGGAUUAGAUACCCGCGUA
Molecule: ribosomal RNA, 225 nt
Filed under: uncultured Roseomonas sp.
Lineage: Bacteria; Pseudomonadati; Pseudomonadota; Alphaproteobacteria; Acetobacterales; Roseomonadaceae
Description: partial 16S ribosomal RNA
Rfam family: Bacterial small subunit ribosomal RNA
Source: RNAcentral